Molecule: ribosomal RNA, 597 nt
Filed under: Naegleria australiensis
Lineage: Eukaryota; Heterolobosea; Eutetramitea; Acrasida; Naegleriidae
Description: SSU rRNA
Rfam family: Eukaryotic small subunit ribosomal RNA
Source: RNAcentral
UAUACCUAAGAGUGGGUGUGUAGCAAUUAGUUUUGCCAGAGGACGGUUGGCGAGAGUUUAUCACUCUUGUUUGCCUACUUUUGGUAGACUUUAGUCGGGCUGGACCUUUGGUCCUCGUCUGACAGUUGCUACGUGCUUACUUACCACGGUUCAUCCGUGAGGCCCUUGGCUUGCAACUGUAAAUAAAUCGUUGUGCUUAAAGCGGGCUAUGAUACUCUGCCAGAGCGAUUUAGCAUGGGACUGCAGAGUAGCUGUAUUUGGAUGAAGGUUGUGUUUCGGCAUGGCUGGAGUCUGGUACAGCGCUUGUAAUGGAGCUCAGGGUGAGGCCCCGGGUACCAUGAGGCUAGAGGUGAAAUUCUGAGACCCUCAUGUGACCAACUAAGGCGAAAGCUGUCGUGGGCCACCACAAGCUCGUCUAUCAGGGACGAAAGUUGGGGGAUCGAAGACGAUUAGAUACCGUCGUAGUCCCAACUAUAAACGAUACCAACCGAGUAUUUGGGAAGACACUAUCCCAGCGAUCUUCUCAGAACUCAAGGGAAACCUUAAGUCUUUGGGUUCUGGGGGGAGUAUAGUCGCAAGACCGAAACUUAAAGGAAU